Molecule: ribosomal RNA, 485 nt
Filed under: uncultured archaeon
Lineage: Archaea
Description: bacterial SSU rRNA
Rfam family: Archaeal small subunit ribosomal RNA
Source: RNAcentral
CAGCAGGCGCGAAACCUUUACACUGCACGCCAGUGCGAUAAGGGGAUCCCAAGUGCGUAGGCAUAGAGCCUACGCUUUUGUCCACCCUAGGGUGGUGGACGAAUAAGGGCUGGGCAAGACCGGUGCCAGCCGCCGCGGUAAUACCGGCAGCCCGAGUGAUGGCCGAUCUUAUUGGGCCUAAAGCGUCCGUAGCUGGCCGCACAAGUCCAUCGGGAAAUCCACCUGCUCAACAGGUGGGCGUCCGGUGGAAACUGUGUGGCUUGGGACCGGAAGGCGCGACGGGUACGUCCGGGGUAGGAGUGAAAUCCCGUAAUCCUGGACGGACCGCCGAUGGCGAAAGCACGUCGCGAAAACGGAUCCGACAGUGAGGGACGAAAGCUAGGGUCUCGAACCGGAUUAGAUACCCGGGUAGUCCUAGCCGUAAACACUGCCUGCUAGGUGUGGCACCCACUAAGAGUUGCGUCCUGUCGCGUACCGAAGCCCUU